UGCCUUAAGUUACUUCAUUGUCGCAUGUUCAAACAACCUUAAACCCUCAGGCGAUGUUUAAUAGCGCUCAUAGGGUCUGCUUUAAACUGUUGUUAUUGAAAGGAAUCUACAUAUUUAUAUGACAAUUGGACGUUAACAUUCGCUUUAAGUUUAUAGUAAGUAAAAAUUCAUUACUUAGAAAAUGUGAAAAGCUUGUAUCAUACGUGCAAAGAGUAUAAAGUUUUCGAUUAAUAAAUGCGCAAAUGUCGAAACAGAAAACACACAAGUGAGCAGCGGGUUUCAUUUACGGCCAACCCGCGGACAUACGGAAGGAAGUCAGCAUAAGAAGCUAACUGAAAGGACAGAAACGGAAAAUGGACUUCAGAAUUGUGUUAGCUGUGGUUAUUUGUGUUCUGCUAAAGCCAACAAUUCAGAUAAGAGAUGCGACAUUCCACAAACAGUUGGCCAAGAAAGAUAUUUUACAGCAGCUCAGCCAAAAAGAAAACAAAAACAUCGCAAAGAAUGUGAUUGUUUUCAUCGGAGAUGGCAUGGGUAUCUCUACAGUGACUGCCGCCAGAAUCCUCAAAGGUCAACUUGCUGGUCAACCAGGGGAAGAAACUGUCCUCAAUUUCGAGAAGUUCCCUUAUACUGGUCUUAUAAAGACGUACAGCGAGGACAAGCAGGUAACGGACUCCGCUGCCUCGGCUACGGCCAUAUACACGGGCGUCAAAACGAAGUCUCGUAUGCUUAGAGUUGACGACAGUCACAAAGUGGGCACAUGUGUAAAACCGUCUGAGGGAAUACCUGGAAUCAUGCAAUGGACACAGGAGAAAGGGAAGUCCACGGGUUUCGUGACAACCUCCCGUGUGACGCAUGCUACUCCGGCCGGCCUGUACGCGGUGACCACAAACCGGGACUGGGAGUCGCCUAGAGAUGCCCCCACCGGAUGUAUGGACAUCGCCACACAGCUUGUCCGCCUCAAUCCCGAUAUCAAGGUCAUAAUGGGAGGAGGUGUGUCCAACUUUCUCAAGACUGGUUUUAUUGGCGCAUCUAACGCAAGUCAAACUCUUAUUCAGGCAUGGGAGGAAGACAAAAUAAACAGAUCAAAGAGUUACGGAGUCGCUUACGACAGGGCACAGCUCGAGGCUAUGAAUAUGGACAAGACCGAUUACGUCCUCGGAUUAUUUAGCAGCGGUCAUAUGGAUUAUGAAAUUGAUCGCAAUACAAACCCGAGUGGUCAGCCAAGUUUAGCUGAAAUGACAAGAGCCGCUAUACAUACGCUUCGAAGGAACAGCAAAGGCUUCUUUCUCAUGGUUGAGGGUGCCCGUAUAGACCACGCCCACCACGAAACAAAAGCCAAGAAGGCCUUAUAUGAUACACUGGCAUUCGAGGAAGCUGUUCAAGUGGCGCUGAACCUUACAAACCCGGAGGAGACACUUACUAUCGUUACUGCCGAUCAUUCGCAUGUCUUUACCAUUAACGGCUACCCUGACAGAGGCAACGGAAUUCUUGACCUGGCAAGACCAAUAGUUGACAACAUGGCGCUUGACAACCAGCCUUACACCACACUGAUGUACACAAAUGGACCAAACGCACAGUCGGUGCGCGCGAACCUUACCUUCAGGAAUACUCAAUACAAAGAGUUUCAACAGCAGUCAACAGUUCCCCUCUCGUCAGAGACCCAUGGCGGAGAGGAUGUUGCUAUAUAUGCACAGGGACCCAUGGCUCACCUGGUAACGGGUGUCAAGGAACAAAACGUCAUCGCAUACGUUAUGGCGCACGCGGCUUGCGUGGGAGAUACAGGAAUACCUUGUGAAAAUGGAAGGGAACAAGUAAUGAAUGGGCAGAAUAAUGUACGAAAUAGUGGAACGGCAUUGAACAUUGGUGAUAUAGUAGUUGUAACAUGUAUGCAUAUACUAAUGCAUGCAAUAUACAAAGAUACAUAGCACGGAGACUUUAUGUAGACAGCCUAACCUCAUCCGCAUGUCUUUACUGUUUUGGUAAACUGUGAUAUUAUCAGACAGCCGUGUUGGGUGACCAUGGUUCUGGUGAAGCAUCCAUAAUUCCGAAACGUUGUAAACAUUCAUGACGGAAGGAAAUUAUAACAUUUUCAUUUUGAAAUUCUAUACCCUUACUUCCUGAAUCAUUGGUUUAAAACUAAGAUGUCAACUACUUUGACUUGGUAUGUUAACAUUACAGUGCGUGCAAAAUGCAGUGAUAUCAUAGGAUCGUAUUUUUAGAGCUUGCUACUCGAAAGUACAUGAACUUUACUUGCCAAGAAAACGACUUCUUCAUCCACAUCAGAAAAAUUGGAUAGCAGAACCACCGUGAUUAAAAUAGAAUAUAUCGAUGUUAAUAUAUACACGUUGAUCCUUACCAUAUAUUGACAUACGUUAUAUGCUAAUAAUUGAAAUGAAAAUUUGAUUGAUAUAAUUGCUUUAAAUGAGUUGAAAUAACCUUAUAGUUGUAUAUAUUAUGCAUAUUUUCUAUCAAGAGGAAAUAAAGAUGU
Molecule: RNA transcript, 2488 nt
Organism: Mya arenaria
Lineage: Eukaryota; Metazoa; Mollusca; Bivalvia; Myida; Myidae
Gene name: alkaline phosphatase, tissue-nonspecific isozyme-like
Exons: 13
Source: RefSeq, a predicted model, not a curated record